Molecule: ribosomal RNA, 506 nt
Filed under: uncultured bacterium
Lineage: Bacteria
Description: partial 16S ribosomal RNA
Rfam family: Bacterial small subunit ribosomal RNA
Source: RNAcentral
AUUGAACGCUGGCGGCAUGCCUUACACAUGCAAGUCGAACGGCAGCAUGGAAGAGCUUGCUCUUCUGAUGGCGAGUGGCGAACGGGUGAGUAAAGCAUCGGAACGUACCGUGUAGUGGGGGAUAACGUAGCGAAAGUUACGCUAAUACCGCAUACGCACUGAGGUGGAAAGCAGGGGAUCGCAAGACCUUGCGCUAUACGAGCGGCCGAUGUCAGAUUAGCUAGUUGGUAGGGUAAAGGCCUACCAAGGCGACGAUCUGUAGCGGGUCUGAGAGGAUGAUCCGCCACACUGGGACUGAGACACGGCCCAGACUCCUACGGGAGGCAGCAGUGGGGAAUUUUGGACAAUGGGCGAAAGCCUGAUCCAGCCAUGCCGCGUGAGUGAAGAAGGCCUUCGGGUUGUAAAGCUCUUUCGGCUGGGAAGAAAUCGCACAGGCUAAUACUCUGUGUGGAUGACGGUACCAGCACAAGAAGCACCGGCUAACUACGUGCCAGCCGCCGCAGUAA